This 484-nucleotide ribosomal RNA is filed under the name uncultured bacterium. RNAcentral's name for it is "partial 16S ribosomal RNA". It matches the Rfam family "Bacterial small subunit ribosomal RNA", at positions 30 to 507 of the family's 1533-position model. The record is from RNAcentral.
AUUGAACGCUGGCGGCAGGCCUAACACAUGCAAGUCGAGCGGAUGAAGGGAGCUUGCUCCUGGAUUCAGCGGCGGACGGGUGUGUAAUGCCUAGGAAUCUGCCUGGUAGUGGGGGAUAACGUCCGGAAACGGGCGCUAAUACUGCAUACGUCCUGCGGGAGCAAGUGGGGGAUCUUCGGAACUCAUGCUAUCAGAUGAGCCUAGGUCGGAUUAGCUAGUUGGUGGGGUAAAGGCCUACCAAGGAGACGAUCCGUAACUGGUCUGAGAGGAUGAUCAGUCACACUGGAACUGAGGCACGGUCCAGACUCCUACGGGAGGCAGCAGUGGGGAAUAGUGGACAAUGGGCGAAAGCCUGAUCCAGCCAUGCCGCGUGUGUGAAGAAGGUCUUCGGAUUGUAAAGCACUUUAAGUUGGGAGGAAGGGCAGUAAGUUAAUACCUUGCUGUUUUGACGGUACCAACAGAAUAAGCACCGGCUAACUUCGUG